AAAAAAAAAAAGGAAGAAUAAAAAAAACGUAAACGUAACGUGAUGGCGCAAAUAACCACGAAGACGGAAGAAUAAUUCUGUUUAUUACAAAAGACUGAAGAUAUAACUGCCGCCAUCCUUUAAUUUAUUUAUUUCUACGUUGAGGACACUUUAUAAACCUACAGAGAUACCGGACCAACGAACGACCUUCACAACGGGACGGAGCUAAUUAACGUUAACGGUUACUUGGAAUUCAAACAGUAAACGGUCAUCUGACAACUGCGCUGAGCCAAAGGUGGUCCAAGUUACAGUCUGAGGACGGGAACAGCAACAAGAGUUU
Cyprinus carpio (common carp) is the source of this 319-nucleotide long non-coding RNA. RefSeq lists it as uncharacterized. NCBI's taxonomy places the organism in Eukaryota, Metazoa, Chordata, Actinopteri, Cypriniformes, Cyprinidae. The record is from RefSeq and is a predicted model, not a curated record. The transcript has 3 exons.